UUUUGGUGCGUUCUGGCUACAGCUUCUUGGGGGUCUGAGAUUCGUAAAUCAUUUUGGCAAAAUGAAAGAAGCCCUCGAGCAUUUGAGAAAGAGAAAGGAAACCCAUCAGCUAGGGUUCGUGAAGAAAAGAAGGGUUCAGCUAGGGUUCGUGAAUCAGCAAUGAGAAGAAGAAGAAAGCAGCAGUUCGUUAUCUGAGUUGGUCGGAAGCAUGUGCGGAGCUUGAAUAGUUGGAGACCAGGUUCAGAGUUAGUUGAAGGCCAAACGAGAAGCUUCUGAGUUAGUUUGUGAUUCCCCUCAUUUUCCCUUUUUCUCUCUUUUUCUGUUUUCAAUCUUUUCUAUAAAAGGAAGUCUUUGUAAUGAACAAUAUACGUGCACUGGGUGACAGGCAGUGUACUUAGACUAGGUUUUUGCAUUCUCUCGCUUUAGAGUAGAUAGUGGUGGGUGACAGACAUCACUUGUAGGGUUUACAUUGCGAUUCAGUUUUCAAUUCUUGGUUUAGUUUAGGUUUAUCAAGCUUUUCUUAGAGAUAGAACUCCACUCUUUUCUCCGGAAGUCGGAGAUGAUCACAUUGGGUAACAGACUUUGUGGAUAAUCUUUGAUUUAUGGUAUCUAGUAUUUUCAUUUCAGCUUGCAAUACAAAGUUUAUGUUUCUGUUUGUUCCAAUUUACAUUUCUUUGAUCGCCUUUCAAUUCAAUUUACAUUUCUUGCCUUUGAAUUUACUUUUUCAGCAAUUUUAUUGAUUAUGCUUAUGAUUUAGGUUCUUGCAUUGAUUCCAUUCUUUUGAUACUGGUUUCUGAAUUUGAUGAUGUGUUCAUAUUAGAGUUAACAUUUUGAUUCUGUUUCUUAUUGCUUUUAGAGUAGUUUUAUGAUGUUCUUGAUGAGUGAUAUGAUAUAUUUUUGGAUUGUAUCAAUAUUGGGUUGAUGAAUUGAGUGAGAGUCACCAUUUCAAGUCCUGCAAUAUGGACUCAAAGACCCUAAAGUGGGCUUUAUUUUACCGGAUGUCUUCUUGAGAGUGACUGAGACUCUUUUCACUAAAUCAAUAUGUGUUAAAUCUGAAAAUUGUUUUCAAUUGAAUUCCUUGUAUGAUUCUUUGCUUAGUUGGUUUGUUAGAUGAUAGAUUUAGGAAAAUUGCUUCAUUCUUGUUUCAGUUUUGUAUUUUUAGUAUUGUUACCAUUUGAGAUCUUUUUUGUCUUGCAAUUUUAAAUUUUCAUUUGUAGAAUUAGGAAUCUCACGUGUUUUGUCCCUGCAUCUAGAAUUAAGCAUUUAGUUUCUUUAUUUUUUUUUUAUGCAUCUGGUUUUAGUUUCUUUAGGUUCAAUAGUUAAAUUUCUUAGCAUUAAUCAUUUUAGCAGAUAUAAUCAUGCAUUUUCAUAUUUUAGAUUUCAUAAAUUUUUCUUUCCCCACCUAGUAAUAGUAAAUAAGUAAAAUAUGUUUUAAUUCUACAAAUUCUAAACUUAACAAGAAUCCAGUCCUUCGAUUAGACCCUAGGUUACCCCUAUACUACAUUAGUCGGGAAUUUAGGUUUGUUGAGCUUUAAUGCAACUAAAAAGCCUUUCAACACACCUCCUACUCUCCCAAUCAUAAUUGAUUCAAGAGUUCUAAAGGGAGUUUUCCAAACUUUGAACUCUUAUCUUUUCAUUAAUGAUUCUCAUUUCUUGAUUUCAACCUUUACUUUUGAAAGUCUUUUACCUCCACUAUCACUUCCCAUUAUUUUUAACUCCUCAAUAACCUUUGAAAAAUCACUCUUUGAGUUGUUGUUACCUCACAAGUUACAAAUAACUCAAGGUGAACAAAAAUAUUUUUGUAAGUUAGGUCUUAUAACUUUUGAAUAAACUAAAACAAGAGAUGUCCUAUACUUCAAGUGUUUUGAGAGAAGGAACAUUUAUUUUGAAUAUCCUCCCAAAAGAACAUUGCUUUCAAAAGAUCAACAUACAAGAAGCUUGGAUAACUCUCAUUCUUCACCUAGUGAAGAAAAAGUUUUAGAUUCUGUAGAAAAUAUAAAUUUUCCUCAUGAAAAUCUUUUCAAAAAUAAAAGGCCUUAUUUCUUUCUUCUUUUGUAUAUGCUUUUAUCACUAGAACAACUUUUUGAAAUAAAGGCCAACAAUACUUUUCAUAAAACCCUUUCCAAAAACAAAAGACCUUCUUUCUUUGUUCUUUUGUUUAAGUCUAUUCUUUUAAUAAUACUCCGAUUUGCUAUUUGUAGUAGGUACAUUUUUUAUCUAGGAGGAGAUCAUUACACAAAAAGUUGUGCUUCCUCAAAUAUCUUUCCGAUCUAGGACAAAUCAUUUUUAGGAGGGAGCGUAUGAUGGAAUCCGUUUUGAGAACUAAAUGGAGAUCCAUGAAGGGAGCAUCAACUAAAGCUAAGGCUAGGAUAUUGGAAGAAGAAGAAGGACUUUCAAGCUUGUUCUUGUGUUCCCUUAAGCCUUAGAAGACAUUAGACCUCUCAUAAAGAGCCAUGGUCAAAGAAGAUGGAAGAAGAAGAUGGAGCUUGAAGGAUUCUAGUCUUAUGGACGGUCACAUUUUAGUCUUCUUCUUUAUCUUAAAACACAUUUUGUAAAUAUGUAAUAUAGCUCCUUUAUAGGCCUUGUAUUUGGCCAAGACACUUUGUUUAGCUUUGCUUAGAAGGUUUGAUGGCUUUAAGAGUUAAAAAUGGGUUAAAAAUGGGUUUUGGAAGGAGUUAGUUGCAAGGAGUCUUUGCAUUAAAUGCUUUGACUAAGUUAGUUACAAAGCAUAAAGCUUCUCACAUUUAAUGUUUAGCCUCCUCAUUUAAUGCUUAGGCUCCUCAUUUAAUGUUUAGGUUUCUCAUUUAAUGAUGAGGCUUCUUAUUAAAUGAUGAAAAGGCUCCUAAGUACUUCAUAUGUACUCUAGCCUUCUCUUUCACCUAUAAAAAGAGAGGCACCCUUUUGUAAUCCUUCUCUUCUUAAGUUCUCAUCUUAUGAAAUUGUCUUCUUCUAAACUUCUUCAUAAAUUCUCCUUAAUGGUUGGCUUAACUUCCUAGAAAGACAUCUACCAAGACCAUACAACACCAACAUCUUCAUCUCUUCAUAUCUAUUUUCUUGCGCUACUUUUAUUGAUCAUCAUGGAGUCCACCCCUUUAAAGAAGCUUCCCCAAUUCAUCAUGGAUAUCAUCUUAUGUUGAAGGAACCUCUUCAAAGCAAUCUCCAUCAUUAAGCCUAGAUUUUUUUUUAUUGAUGAACAUCAUCACCAUUUAAGUCAUUCGACCUCAUAUACUUCUCAAACACAAAUACAUGCUAAGCAUUUUUCCUCAUUCCAAAUAAACCCAACUUGCAAUUUUCAACCAUCCCUGUCCCUUUCACUCCAUCUGUUUUGGAAAUGAAAUAUAGAUGCAAGUAAUUUAUAUAAGGUGCCAUAUCAUAGUAUUUGUAAUACACAUACAUGGUGAAUACAUCCAAUAGAUUAGAGGAUAGUAUUUGAAACUUCUUAAGGGAGAAAUUUGGCUCUAUAGAACAAUGAUUGAAGUUGUCUCCCUAGUGUACAUUAUUUUUUUUACAAGCCAAGAGCACCAAGGGGAGUCUUGCCCUGUCCAGCCUCAAAGUAAAAAAUCAGCAUGGCCAACAUUGCAAUCCUGGCAUGCUUUAUCUCAGCCAAUUUCAGUCUCUGUAGCUUGUCUGCAUCAGGAAUGUAAACACCAUCCUUGAUUGUGCCAGCAAAUCCCAAAGGGUCAAAGAAUUUGCCCCCAGGGUAGCCUUGAUCACCAGUGGAGUUGCCAAAAUUCUCAGCAGUUUUUGACCACGGGGUAGCCCAUUCCACUGACUGAGAAUCUGGGUUGAAGAAAUCCACCCAUCUCUUGCUCUCAACCCAUCCCAUUAGAAGCAACUGGGUGCCCAAAAGAGAACCAAAGGAGAAAGGAGCAACUGCAUUAGGAUCAGCUCCAGCCUCAAACCAUGGAACUCCACUCCAUGCCUGCCCAAUAAAGAUGCCUACAACUGCAGCCAUCGCCCACCUCCCAUGAAUCAGUUCAGCUUCUCUAUACCAUUUCAGAAAUGCUGGGUCUUUCCCCAGUCCCAGAGGGUCAAAACCAUAGUCACCUGGUAGCCUGCAAUUGCAACAUUCAACAGGAAAUGAAUCCACCAAAACAAUGUUAACACUUGUCAUAAUGAUACUCUUUCAACUUUUCAUUUCAUCAGUCUUUUUUUCUUGAUUUUGAAUAAAUUUCAAUCAACUAUUAAAAGAGAUGCUAGAAUGAGUGUGUAAGAAAAGAUAAAUUGAAAGGACUUACGAGCCAUCAAGCCAUUCUGGGUCAAUGAAAUUCCCACCACCUUUUACAGCAGGGAUCCAUGACUUCUUUGGAGCAGCAGCAACUGCUACAAUGAGUCUUUUAGGACUAACAGCAGCACCAACUUUGGCUCCAAUGCCAGCAGCAAGCAGUGCCUGACUCCUCUUUCCUCCACACAAGAACUGAG
This 4422-nucleotide long non-coding RNA is filed under the name Vigna radiata. Its description in RNAcentral is "long non-coding RNA (VRAD_LNC009491)". Lineage: Eukaryota; Viridiplantae; Streptophyta; Magnoliopsida; Fabales; Fabaceae. The record is from RNAcentral.